This 590-nucleotide ribosomal RNA is filed under the name Nocardioides sp. RNAcentral describes it as "bacterial SSU rRNA". It matches the Rfam family "Bacterial small subunit ribosomal RNA", at positions 143 to 738 of the family's 1533-position model. Lineage: Bacteria; Bacillati; Actinomycetota; Actinomycetes; Propionibacteriales; Nocardioidaceae. The record is from RNAcentral.
AUAAGCACCGGAAACGGUGUCUAAUACCCGAUACGACCGAUCCCUGCAUGGGGUGUUGGUGGAAAGUUUUUUCGGUGGGGGAUGUGCUCGCGGCCUAUCAGCUUGUUGGUGGGGUAAUGGCCUACCAAGGCUUCGACGGGUAGCCGGCCUGAGAGGGUGACCGGCCACACUGGGACUGAGACACGGCCCAGACUCCUACGGGAGGCAGCAGUGGGGAAUAUUGGACAAUGGGCGGAAGCCUGAUCCAGCAACGCCGCGUGAGGGAUGACGGCCUUCGGGUUGUAAACCUCUUUCAGUACUGACGAAGCGCCCUUGGGGUGGUGACGGUAGGUGCAGAAGAAGGACCGGCCAACUACGUGCCAGCAGCCGCGGUAAUACGUAGGGUCCGAGCGUUGUCCGGAAUUAUUGGGCGUAAAGGGCUCGUAGGCGGUUUGUCGCGUCGGGAGUGAAAACCCAGGGCUUAACUCUGGGCUGGCUUUCGAUACGGGCAGACUAGAGGUAUUCAGGGGAGAACGGAAUUCCUGGUGUAGCGGUGAAAUGCGCAGAUAUCAGGAGGAACACCGGUGGCGAAGGCGGUUCUCUGGGAAUAU